CCUGGCUCACGACGAACGCUGGCGGCGCGCCUAACACAUGCAAGUCGAACGAGCGAGAGAGAGCUUGCUUUCUCAAGCGAGUGGCGAACGGGUGAGUAACGCGUGAGGAACCUGCCUCAAAGAGGGGGACAACAGUUGGAAACGACUGCUAAUACCGCAUAAGCCCACGGCUCGGCAUCGAGCAGAGGGAAAAGGAGCAAUCCGCUUUGAGAUGGCCUCGCGUCCGAUUAGCUAGUUGGUGAGGUAAUGGCCCACCAAGGCGACGAUCGGUAGCCGGACUGAGAGGUUGAACGGCCACAUUGGGACUGAGACACGGCCCAGACUCCUACGGGAGGCAGCAGUGGGGAAUAUUGCACAAUGGGGGAAACCCUGAUGCAGCGACGCCGCGUGGAGGAAGAAGGUCUUCGGAUUGUAAACUCCUGUUGUUGAGGAAGAUAAUGACGGUACUCAACAAGGAAGUGACGGCUAACUACGUGCCAGCAGCCGCGGUAAAACGUAGGUCACAAGCGUUGUCCGGAAUUACUGGGUGUAAAGGGAGCGCAGGCGGGAAGACAAGUUGGAAGUGAAAUCCAUGGGCUCAACCCAUGAACUGCUUUCAAAACUGUUUUUCUUGAGUAGUGCAGAGGUAGGCGGAAUUCCCGGUGUAGCGGUGGAAUGCGUAGAUAUCGGGAGGAACACCAGUGGCGAAGGCGGCCUACUGGGCACCAACUGACGCUGAGGCUCGAAAGUGUGGGUAGCAAACAGGAUUAGAUACCCUGGUAGUCCACACUGUAAACGAUGAUUACUAGGUGUUGGAGGAUUGACCCCUUCAGUGCCGCAGUUAACACAAUAAGUAAUCCACCUGGGGAGUACGACCGCAAGGUUGAAACUCAAAGGAAUUGACGGGGGCCCGCACAAGCAGUGGAGUAUGUGGUUUAAUUCGACGCAACGCGAAGAACCUUACCAAGUCUUGACAUCCCUUGACGAUGCUGGAAACAGUAUUUCUCUUCGGAGCAAGGAGACAGGUGGUGCAUGGUUGUCGUCAGCUCGUGUCGUGAGAUGUUGGGUUAAGUCCCGCAACGAGCGCAACCCUUAUGGUCAGUUACUACGCAAGAGGACUCUGGCCAGACUGCUGUUGACAAAACGGAGGAAGGUGGGGAUGACGUCAAAUCAUCAUGCCCUUUAUGACUUGGGCUACACACGUACUACAAUGGCGUUAAACAAAGAGAAGCAAGACCGCGAGGUGGAGCAAAACUCAGAAACAACGUCCCAGUUCGGACUGCAGGCUGCAACUCGCCUGCACGAAGUCGGAAUUGCUAGUAAUCGCAGAUCAGCAUGCUGCGGUGAAUACGUUCCCGGGCCUUGUACACACCGC
RNAcentral lists this ribosomal RNA (1354 nucleotides) under uncultured bacterium. Its description in RNAcentral is "bacterial SSU rRNA". It matches the Rfam family "Bacterial small subunit ribosomal RNA", at positions 18 to 1393 of the family's 1533-position model. The record is from RNAcentral.